This 202-nucleotide ribosomal RNA is filed under the name Paenibacillus polymyxa. RNAcentral describes it as "partial 23S ribosomal RNA". It matches the Rfam family "Bacterial large subunit ribosomal RNA", at positions 2718 to 2925 of the family's 2925-position model. The record is from RNAcentral. Lineage: Bacteria; Bacillati; Bacillota; Bacilli; Caryophanales; Paenibacillaceae.
CAGUUGUUCCGCCAGGAGCACCGCUGGGUAGCUAUGUACGGAAGGGAUAAGCGCUGAAAGCAUCUAAGCGUGAAGCCCCCCUCAAGAUGAGAUUUCCCAAUUAGUAAGACCCCUUGAAGACGACGAGGUAGAUAGGUUGGGGGUGGAAGUGCAGUAAUGCAUGGAGCUGACCAAUACUAAUCGGUCGAGGGCUUAUCCUAAA